CUGCGGCUGGACACGGAGCGCCCGAGAUGAUGGUGCUGGACAAGGAGGACGGCGUGCCGAUGCUCUCCGUCCAGCCCAAAGGGAAGCAGAAGGGCUGUGCGGGCUGUAACCGCAAGAUCAAGGACCGCUAUCUGCUGAAGGCAUUGGACAAGUACUGGCAUGAAGACUGCCUCAAGUGUGCCUGCUGUGACUGCCGCCUGGGCGAGGUGGGCUCCACCCUCUACACCAAGGCCAACCUCAUCCUGUGCCGACGCGACUACCUGAGGCUCUUUGGCACCACAGGGAACUGUGCUGCUUGCAGCAAGCUGAUCCCAGCCUUCGAGAUGGUGAUGCGGGCUCGGGACAACGUGUAUCACCUCGACUGCUUCGCCUGCCAGCUCUGCAACCAGAGGUCAGUGCUGGACUGGCUGACCCAACACACUCCCCAGACGCCAGCCUGAGGCCUGCUGGGAUGGGCCAGGAGCACGGGGGAGGCGUGCAAGCAAAUGAGGGUUGCGUGUGUGUAUGUGGUGAUUUUGUGUGGGAGACAAAUUCUUCCUGAAGAACAACAUGAUCUUGUGUCAGAUGGACUAUGAGGAGGGGCAGCUCAAUGGCACCUUUGAAUCCCAAGUUCAGUAACGCCCGGCGCCUGGCCUCCAGGCCCGUCUGUCCAUCUGCCCGCCUGCCCACCCGCCUGGCCGGCCAGCCAGCCACUCUACCAGUGCAGGCUGGCCAGCCGCUCUCCUGCCACAUUAGAACUUCUCCGUCCUCGAUGGGAGGGAUGGCCCUUCCUCCUCCACCACCGC
This 785-nucleotide small RNA is filed under the name Pongo abelii (Sumatran orangutan). RNAcentral's name for it is "retained intron". The record is from RNAcentral. Lineage: Eukaryota; Metazoa; Chordata; Mammalia; Primates; Hominidae.